AGCUCCGAGGUGUUUUCAUAUCAGAUUGCAAAUCUGAAGAAGUAAGCUAGCGUUUACCGGGGCUU
RNAcentral lists this transfer RNA (65 nucleotides) under Maccullochella ikei (eastern freshwater cod). RNAcentral's name for it is "tRNA-Cys". RNAcentral also lists the same sequence under 2 other names. The record is from RNAcentral. Lineage: Eukaryota; Metazoa; Chordata; Actinopteri; Centrarchiformes; Percichthyidae.